ACACCUCAACUCUCAUGGUUUGCCCAUGAUGAGCUUGGACUUCUGGAGGUUUUGCUGGCCUGUGGUCGGCUCCUCUCAAAUGGAUCAGCUUACCAGUGUUUGGUGGCGUCAUGGGUGUGAUAACUAUCUACGCUUGUGGUCGUCUGCCAGGUAACCUUCAGCGAUGGAGGUUUGCUGGGGCUUACAGAUGUCUUUCCUCAGUGAAGACAGCAUUUUGAAC
RNAcentral lists this unclassified non-coding RNA (220 nucleotides) under uncultured Thelephora. RNAcentral describes it as "sequence contains ITS2". Lineage: Eukaryota; Fungi; Basidiomycota; Agaricomycetes; Thelephorales; Thelephoraceae. The record is from RNAcentral.